GAUGAACGCUGGCGGCGUGCCUAAUACAUGCAAGUCGAACGAGGUGCUUUUGUAGCAAUACGAGAGUAUCCUAGUGGCGAACGGGUGAGUAACGCGUUGGUGACCUACCCCAAAGUGUGGGAUAACAGUCCGAAAGGAUUGCUAAUACCGCAUGUGGUCUUCGGAUUUAGAAACUGAUGACUAAAGGAGCAAUUCGCUUUGGGAGGGACCUGCGUCCCAUCAGCUAGUUGGUGAGGUAAUGGCUCACCAAGGCUACGACGGGUAGGGGACCUGAGAGGGUGACCCCCCACAAUGGAACUGAAACACGGUCCAUACACCUACGGGUGGCAGCAGUAGGGAAUAUUGCACAAUGGGCGAAAGCCUGAUGCAGCAACGCCGCGUGUGCGAUGAAGGCCUUCGGGUCGUAAAGCACUUUCUGGGAGAUGAGCAAGGACAGUAUCUCAGGAAUAAGUACUCGGCUAACUACGUGCCAGCAGCCGCGUAAU
RNAcentral lists this ribosomal RNA (485 nucleotides) under uncultured bacterium. Its description in RNAcentral is "bacterial SSU rRNA". It matches the Rfam family "Bacterial small subunit ribosomal RNA", at positions 28 to 524 of the family's 1533-position model. The record is from RNAcentral.